RNAcentral lists this ribosomal RNA (646 nucleotides) under uncultured Inocybe. RNAcentral's name for it is "eukaryotic LSU rRNA". The stretch from base 257 to 410 matches the Rfam family "5.8S ribosomal RNA". The record is from RNAcentral. Lineage: Eukaryota; Fungi; Basidiomycota; Agaricomycetes; Agaricales; Cortinariaceae.
GGAUCAUUAUCGAAUAAACUUGAACAGGCUGUUGCUGUCCCUUCACUGGGUAUGUGCACGCUUGCCAUCUUUAUUUUCUCCAACUGUGCACCUUUUGUAGACCUGAAAUGAUCUUUUUUGAAUCGAGUUGGGGACUGCUGUGCCAACCACCGGCUUUCCCUUGUAUUUUUUCCAGGCUAUGUCCUUUGGUUCACAAACCUAUGGAAUUGUUUUAAAAUGGUGAAACCAGGUGGUUUUAUGUACCUUUAAAAAAUACCACUUUCAACAACCGAACUCUUGGCUCUCGCAUCCAUGAAAAACCCAACCAAAUGGCAUAAAUAAUGGGAAUUGCAAAAUUCCAUGAAUCAUCCAAUCCUUGAACGCAUCCUGGGCUCCUUGGUAUUCCCAAGAACAUGGCUGGUUGAAUGGCAUUUAAAUUCCCAACCACAUGCACAUUGGUGUGCCCUGGGGCUUGGAUAUUGGGGGCAUCAUUUGCGCGCCCUGAAAAAAAGGUCUGCUCUCCUGAGAUGUAUUAACGGUAUCUGCUACUACACGUGUGAUAAUUUAUCUGUGCCUUUUGUAUUGUGCAAUGGGUAUACUGUGUCUCAACAACACAUGUUUUGAUGAAAUUGAACUCCAAUCAAGUAAGACUACCCGCUGAACUUAA